RNAcentral lists this non-coding RNA (104 nucleotides) under Chromera velia. The record is from RNAcentral. Lineage: Eukaryota; Chromeraceae.
AGAAAGAAACUGACUCACUGAGGGGUCUCGGAGUAGUGGAGGAAGCAGAUGGCAGGCAGUGUCGUGGGUGCACUCGCUGGGAGAUCGACAGGGAGAAAAGAAGA